RNAcentral lists this ribosomal RNA (450 nucleotides) under uncultured bacterium. RNAcentral describes it as "partial 16S ribosomal RNA". It matches the Rfam family "Bacterial small subunit ribosomal RNA", at positions 354 to 796 of the family's 1533-position model. The record is from RNAcentral.
GUGGGGAAUAUUGGACAAUGGGCGAAAGCCUGAUCCAGCCAUGCCGCGUGUGUGAAGAAGGUCUUCGGAUUGUAAAGCACUUUAAGUUGGGAGGAAGGGCAGUAAGUUAAUACCUUGCUGUUUUGACGUUACCAACAGAAUAAGCACCGGCUAACUUCGUGCCAGCAGCCGCGGUAAUACGAAGGGUGCAAGCGUUAAUCGGAAUUACUGGGCGUAAAGCGCGCGUAGGUGGUUCAGCAAGUUGAAGGUGAAAUCCCCGGGCUCAACCUGGGAACUGCCUCCAAAACUACUGAGCUAGAGUACGGUAGAGGGUAGUGGAAUUUCCUGUGUAGUGGUGAAAUGCGUAGAUAUAGGAAGGAACACCAGUGGCGAAGGCGACUACCUGGACUGAUACUGACACUGAGGUGCGAAAGCGUGGGGAGCAAACAGGAUUAGAAACCCUUGUAGUCC